CUCUUCGCUGACGAGUGGCGCACGGGUGAGUAACACGUAGAUAACCUACCCUUAAGUCUGGAACAACCUUUCGAAAGAAGGGCUAAUACCGGAUAAUACAAUUCGACUAGUGUUGGAUUGUUAAAAGUUUUUCGCUUUUGGAUGGGUCUGCGCACCAUUAGCUAGUUGGUAGGGUAAAGGCCUACCAAGGCUACGAUGGUUAGCGGGUUUGAGAGGAUGAUCCGCCACACUGGAACUGAGACACGGUCCAG
This 251-nucleotide ribosomal RNA is filed under the name uncultured bacterium. RNAcentral's name for it is "partial 16S ribosomal RNA". It matches the Rfam family "Bacterial small subunit ribosomal RNA", at positions 81 to 334 of the family's 1533-position model. The record is from RNAcentral.